AUUGUAUCAGUUUGUAAGUCGCUCUGGAUAAGAGCGUCUGCUAAAUUACGUAAA
This is a non-coding RNA of Salmo salar (Atlantic salmon), 54 nucleotides long. The record is from Rfam. NCBI's taxonomy places the organism in Eukaryota, Metazoa, Chordata, Actinopteri, Salmoniformes, Salmonidae.